CGCGGGAUAGAGCAGCCCGGUAGCUCGUCAGGCUCAUAACCUGAAGUUUCACAGGUUCAAAUCCUGUCCGCGCAACCA
This 78-nucleotide transfer RNA is filed under the name Bradyrhizobium septentrionale. Its description in RNAcentral is "tRNA-Met". It matches the Rfam family "tRNA". From Rfam's summary of the family: Transfer RNA (tRNA) molecules are approximately 80 nucleotides in length. Their secondary structure includes four short double-helical elements and three loops (D, anti-codon, and T loops). The record is from RNAcentral. Lineage: Bacteria; Pseudomonadati; Pseudomonadota; Alphaproteobacteria; Hyphomicrobiales; Nitrobacteraceae.